RNAcentral lists this long non-coding RNA (754 nucleotides) under Bos indicus x Bos taurus (hybrid cattle). Its description in RNAcentral is "lncRNA (ENSBIXG00000014782.1)". The record is from RNAcentral. Lineage: Eukaryota; Metazoa; Chordata; Mammalia; Artiodactyla; Bovidae.
CCUGUCUCUCUUGUGUCCUAGUGGUAAAACCAUGGAGGAGGCUGGAGGUGGGAGGAUGUCCUUAUUACAAAUAAAAAACCCAAGGCAGGUUCGACUGAUGCUUCACACUUACAUAGCUCACAGUAGGACCCUUGAGCUUGCCAAACAAAACAGCAAAGAUAGUAAUUAAGGCAAAUAACCUUUAACUUUAUGCCACAGUGAAAUAAAAUACUCCGAGGCUGGUGUUUCAAUUGGUGCAAGAUUCUGAAGAGAGCCGAACACUCCCUCUUCCUUUUUGGGACAUGAAUUCCCCAGCUGAAAAAAUGCAUCACUUGGCCUUACCUGCCCUACUCCAUCACCACCUCCUUCUCAGGGAUGUUGUGACAAAGAGGUUUGUUUUGACGUCUGAGGCGAAGAGAUCUUCCCAGGAGGAGGCCGAGGGAACACUACAGGCGAAAUGGCACCCUACCCUCAUGUCAACAGCCUCUCGAUUUAGCUGAUGACCGUUUUUGUCUCAUCCAAGAAAACUUCAGAGUCGGUCUAUGCACCCACUCUCCCAACCCACCCAGCCAGCCAGGAUGCUCUUCUGGAGCUAGCCCAGCUGACAGAAUCAGAGCAAACCACCCCCUGGAGGACACUCCGGAGGUCAUCGCAGCCAGCCCCCUGCCUCCAGGCAGGUCUCCCAUAAAUCGUCCUCGACAGAGACUGCCUCGUUGGAGGCCCUUUGCUCGGAGCACCCUGAGCAGCUGAGUAAAGUUUUGUGCUGACUCCGUAG